RNAcentral lists this ribosomal RNA (548 nucleotides) under uncultured archaeon. RNAcentral describes it as "bacterial SSU rRNA". It matches the Rfam family "Archaeal small subunit ribosomal RNA", at positions 331 to 879 of the family's 1478-position model. The record is from RNAcentral.
UGCAGCAGGCGCGAAAACUUUACAAUGCUGGCAACAGCGAUAAGGGGACCUCGAGUGCCAGGAUACAAUCUUGGCUGUCGUGAUGCCUAAAAAGCAUUACAUAGCAAGGGCCGGGCAAGACCGGUGCCAGCCGCCGCGGUAACACCGGCGGCUCGAGUGGUAACCGCUAUUAUUGGGUCUAAAGGGUCUGUAGCCGGCCGGAUAAGUCUCUUGGGAAAUCCAGCAGCUCAACUGUUGGGCUUCCAGGGGAUACUGUUCGGCUCGAGGCCGGGAGAGGUGAGAGGUACUUCAGGGGUAGGGGUGAAAUCUUGUAAUCCUUGAAGGACCACCAGUGGCGAAGGCGUCUCACCAGAACGGUCCUGACGGCAAGGGACGAAAGCUAGGGGCACGAACCGGAUUAGAUACCCGGGUAGUCCUAGCCGUAAACGAUACUCGCUAGGUGUCAGCCACGGUGCGACCGUGGUUGGUGCCGUAGGGAAGCCGUGAAGCGAGCCACCUGGGAAGUACGGCCGCAAGGCUGAAACUUAAAGGAAUUGGCGGGGGAGCAC